CUGGCUCAGGAUGAACGCUAGCGGCAGGCUUAACACAUGCAAGUCGAGGGGCAUCGGGAGUAGCAAUACUUGCCGGCGACCGGCGCAAGGGUGCGUAACGCGUGAGCAACAUGCCCGUAUCAGGGGGAUAAUCCAUGGAAACGUGGUCUAAUACCCCAUAGUAAUUAUGUAAGGCAUCUUAUAUAAUUUAAAGCUUUGGUGGAUACGGAUUGGCUCGCGUGACAUUAGCUGGAUGGUAAGGUAACGGCUUACCAUGGCUACGAUGUCUAGGGGUUCUGAGAGGAAGGUCCCCCACACUGGAACUGAGACACGGUCCAGACUCCUACGGGAGGCAGCAGUGAGGAAUAUUGGACAAUGGAUGGAAAUCUGAUCCAGCCAUGCCGCGUGCAAGGAAGACGGCCCUAUGGGUUGUAAACUGCUUUUGUAUGGGAGCAAUAAGGGCUACGUGUAGUCCGAUGAGAGUACCAUACGAAUAAGCACCGGCUAACUCCGUGCCAGCCGCGGC
This 505-nucleotide ribosomal RNA is filed under the name uncultured bacterium. Its description in RNAcentral is "bacterial SSU rRNA". It matches the Rfam family "Bacterial small subunit ribosomal RNA", at positions 19 to 518 of the family's 1533-position model. The record is from RNAcentral.